RNAcentral lists this ribosomal RNA (217 nucleotides) under uncultured bacterium. RNAcentral describes it as "partial 16S ribosomal RNA". It matches the Rfam family "Bacterial small subunit ribosomal RNA", at positions 104 to 334 of the family's 1533-position model. The record is from RNAcentral.
GGGGUGAGUAACGCGUAGGUAUCUGUCUCUGGGUGGGGGAGUAACCAUGGGAAACUAUGGCUAAUACCGCAUGAAGCCUGAGGGCCAAAGCAGCAAUGCGCCUGGAGAGGAGCCUGCGUACGAUUAGCUAGUUGGUGGGGUAAAGGCCCACCAAGGCGACGAUCGUUAGCUGGUCUGAGAGGAUGAUCAGCCACACUGGGACUGAGACACGGCCCAG